Molecule: transfer RNA, 71 nt
Organism: Loxodonta africana (African savanna elephant)
Lineage: Eukaryota; Metazoa; Chordata; Mammalia; Proboscidea; Elephantidae
Rfam family: tRNA
About the family: Transfer RNA (tRNA) molecules are approximately 80 nucleotides in length.
Source: Rfam
GCAGCGGUGAUUCAGUGGUAGAAUUCUCAUCUUACAUGUGGGAGGCCCAGGUUCGAUUCCCGGUCAGUGUG